CCUGGCGCUGCCCUAGGCCGCCGCGUCCCUGCGGGGAUCUCCUGCCCCGCUGGGGCCGGGGGAAGCUCCCCCUCCUGCUCACAGCUCUGUCGCCCCUCGGAGAGCGGAGAGGGGGGCGAGGGACUCUACUGGGAGCGCCUCGUCAGCAGGACGAGGAGAAACGACGGGUUUUUGCCCCAGGUGUCUCUCCAACCCUGACUCGGGGUCUGCGUGGCCCCGAGGGUGCUGUAAGAGCUUGGGCUGCUGCACCUGGGGCAGAGACUCUGUGGGGACUCUACAUAAUGUCCUGACAGAAAUACCCUCCCUGGCAGCGAGCAGCGUUUGCAGAGGGCCAAGUUACUCUGGAUCAGAAAGAUGCCUUUUCUGAGUACAUCAGCUUCCCAAAAGCCUGAUCAGCAUUAUGCAACACUCACCUCAAGUACUCUGUGCAGUUCUGGGCCCCACAAUUUAAGAAGGAUGUUACAGUGCUUGGAUGCAUCCAGAGGAGGGCAACAAAGCUGGUGAAAGGUCUGGAAGGCACAUCUUGUGAGGAGCAGCUGAGGACUUUGGGUUUGUCUAAUUUGAAGAACAGGAGGCUGAAGGGCGACCCCAUGGCUCUCCACAGCUUCCAGAGGAGGGGACAUGGAGAGGGAGGUGCUGAUCUCUUCGCCCUGGAUCCAGCGAUAGGACACGUGGGAACGGCUCGAAGGGCUUUGUCUUGCGCCACAAUCUGGUGGAGGAACAGUGUGAAGUUGGCAGACACUCUGUGAUACUGCAGAUAUAUGGAGGACAGAGCCACUGUGCACAUCAACCUCACCUAUAACAUUCAGGAAGUGAGAGAAGCAGCUGUGGCAAAUGAUCAAAAUAUUUUCAGGUUUGCAAUGGACAGCAAUAGCACACAGAUCCAGAAACGCCUUCCUCCAUCUUUUCAUUGGCAGAGCUCACUCAUGGCCACCUCGUGCACUCAUUUCUGUUGUUGUUUCAGUUCCACAUAAAACACCUUCUGCCAAAGCCUUUGGCACAUCUUUGUUUCCUGGUGACUUAUGCAAAUUGGUUUUGCUUCAUUUUCCUAUUUAUUUAUUUCCAUGCAAUCUUUUAGGGAACCCUCUCAAGAGCUAAAUUCAUCUCAGGUACUUCAUAGACAGACUUAUUGGGCAGCAAAAUGUUGCUCUCCUGGAACCAGAAACACUCACCUGCAGCGCAAUAGGUGAGCAGUAUUUAUGCCUCUGCUUGGUAUGCUUUAUUUGCUUGGACAUUCUCCUUCCAUUACCUGGUCUCUGAUCAAAGGAAAAAACAAAGCAAAAAAAAAUAAAUCACAUGGAUCCAAAAUCUGGAGUUUAGCAAAUCCCUAGAAUAAAGCCAGAAUAAACAGAUCUAAUUCUUUGUGAUUUUAACAAUGUCUUUUAAAGAGUUCUGGCUUCAGUGAGCAUUUCACAGCGUCAAGAUUGCCUCAACCGGCACCUUUCCUUUCCAGCGGAAGACUGGCACUUCACUACCACAUCACAUUUCUGUCCAUCACAGUGUACACAAGGUAUACUGAACAAAGCAAAUACUCUUAAUGAAAACAUCUAACCAGGGAAAGGAAAUGAACAGAAAUCUUUCCUUGCCACAAUACUGCAGGCUGUUAACAGGGUUGAGAGUUACAUGGCAAUCUUCAAGAGUGCUGAAGACUCCACUAGGUAAAUCUGAACUAAGGAUUUGAGAAGUCUAGAGAGGGCUAUAAAGUUUGAAAAAUCUGGCUGUUUAAAUCAUAACCCUGAGGACUAACUUCAGUGACCAGUAGUUCUUAUCUCAGUAGGUACUCCUGUGUUCAGAAGUCCUGUGCUGGACUGAGAGCUAUGGACAAAAGCUUUGUUGAAAAGUUGAUAUAACUGCAACCAAUACAGAAUGGCAAAACUUGAGGUGUUGUGGUUUUUUUUUCAUACAUAGACAGAUAAAUAAACAGGCAUUUACUAUUUUAAUUUGGCUUGUGAAAAAGUCAAACACAAUCUGACAGAAUAAGUAAAAAAGAUUAUUUGCUAUACAGAGGACCAGGUACCAGAACUCCUCAACCAAACCAUAUCUUUAAUCAAAUAAAUUUUUGUACAUGACUUAGUCUUGACAUGCUUCAAAAUUGCUGCACAGAUCUGCUGGACAAUAUAAUUAAAAUUUUGUCAUUUACAAGGCCUCAUUACUGUAGUUUAAAAAUCACUUAAGAGUCACUCAUUUUUAGUUUCCAGGCACCCCCGGUAGCCCGUGAAAUGCUGUUAUUUCUGUUUUUCACGUGGGACUGAGACACUCGGUAUUUAAGAUAAGACUGAGACAGAGUACAGAGCUGAAUUCAAAUGGCCCCAGAUACAUGUUAAUGUCCUAAAUGCUUUCUUGUCUUCAGUGCAGAUGUCCAGCUUCCCAACAUUCAACCGUUCAACAUACUUGGUUCUCUAUGUAGCACUCCCACUUCUUUCUCAGUUCAAUGGGAUACAACCAAAUAAAACUCCAGUUUUAAGGAACAGCUCCAUUGCUGGAAUAAUUGAAAACAGACAAGCAAAAUGUGCUGGUUUACUCAAAGCUGAACAUGUUUGCCUUGAGAAUAUAUAAACUAAUGUAUGGAACAGCUGAGAUAUCAGAUCAGACAGGACAGAUAAAUCUUAAUGGCCUACCUUCGCAGUGCUUUCUACUAUACAGCUACAAACGUGCAAAGAUCCUUGGCAAGAAGCUGUACAGCUCUGAAUGCAAACCUCAAAGCGUAUUCAUUACUUCAGUAUUAACAGCUGGAGGCCGUACUGCUGCUAUCAUUGCUUCGUGGCCACUGACUUUGCCUUAGAAUCUACCAUUUGCUGCAGAACUUGGGCUCCAGACUCUACAUGUCCAUGUAGCACCAAUGUGUUCAGGUAAGGACACACACCUUUAAAAAGCAGAAAGUGCAAAACAAUGCCAUGUUGUCGGUCUAUAGCCUGAAGCAGCUGAGGAGCACGGGAAUGGAUGGUGCCUGUUCAUUUCAGCAGGGUGAAUCUUAUAUUUGUAAAUUUAUUUUCAGUUUUGCAGAUCUCAGUAUUAACAUCAAACAUUUUACAGAAAGUAGUCCUUUAUGGAACCAGAUCAUGUGCUUAUUUGACAAAUACAAAUUCCGUUCCUAUUCCUUUCCAAAAGCCUUAGCAACUGCAAGUACCUCCAACUUCCAGUAAACUUUUACAAUGGAAUUCAGCUAAAGCAAGCCCAUAUCCAGCAGCACAUGGGAUUUUGCCCUGAGCAUAUUCAAGUCAAUGUGAAUCUCAGUUUUUAUCCAAACUCCUGUUACACUUAGCUGCACUGACAUAUGCAACAGUGCAGAGACCUUGCCAUGGCAGUUAGCUCCAACCUCCUAUGAAGGUCAAGUACUUAUAACUGUGAAAAAAACAUUGAUCUGAUCACAUCUCAUGAACAAAAUAUGUAUCAGAAAGUCCUAGCAAAAACCAAGUUAAUCACAAUCCCAAGUUGUCAGUACUGCUUCUGAGUUCCCUUUGCUGUUGCUUCUCAGCAAACAUAUACAGUGAUGUUCUCUGUACUACAUGGCAUAGGAAAUUACAAGCUCAUAUGGGAGAUGCUGGAAUGUGAUCUAUCUAAUGCAUGGAAGAUGAAAACUUGGCCAUGUGAUUAAUUAAAAAUCAAAGACAUCUAGUUAUUUAAGCAUCUAUGCUGAUAGGCCAAUUCUGUACCUUAUUGAUUCCAAGUAAAGUUGUGUGGUAUCCAACUUGCUGUGGAUAACUGUAGGUAUCUCUUCACCAAACCACAGAUAAGCAAGUACAGUUUAAAGAAAAUGCUAGGCACUCAACUUGUCAUUUAGUUGUCCUUCUGCAUUCUCAGUGAUAAAUGACAUUAUCCUCCCUAGCAGAAAAGACAGUGCUGUGAAAAAAGACGCACGUGACCACCCUUCUCUCUUUUCCAAUAUAAAUUCCUUAUUCUUGUGAUGCAAGUGAUCUCCUGAAGUGUGCUUCGAAGGGCCUUAAAACAUACCUAUACCAAUGACCAAGUUAAAUUCAGUUUAUCUUGGAAUAGUUCAUCACAGCUGUUUUUAACUUCCUACAGCAGAAAUCUCAUAUGUAUGUAGAGUUGGUUAAAAUAACCAUAUAUUCUUUGUUCAAUAAAGAGAAAUUACAUUCAGUGCAACUCUUAGAAUAUCCUGUUAGCCUGCUGUCCUGACUUUGGCUGGGAGAGAGUUAGUUUUCUUCCUAGUAGCUGGUAUAGCGCUAUGUUUUAAAUUUAGUACGAGAAUAACGUUGAUAACACACCGAUGUCUUAGUGCUUACACUAGUCAAGGAAUUUUUCAGCUUCUCAUGCUCUGCCAGGUGCACAAGCUGAGAGGGAGCAUAGCCAGGACAACUGACCCAAGCUGGCCAAAGGGAUAUUCCAUACCAUAUGGUGUUAUGUUCAGUAUAUAAACCGGGGGGAGUUGGCCAGGAGGCAGCAAUCACUGCUCAGGGACUGGCUGGGCACUGAUCAGCAAGUGGUGAGCAGUUGCAUCACUUGUUUUUCCUGGGCUUUGUUCUUAUUUUUUCUUGUUUUCCUUCUCACUACAAUUUAUUAUUAUAAUUAUUAUUAUCUUAUUUCAAUUAUUAAACUGCUCUUAUCUCAGCCCAUGAGUUUUCUUACUUUUGACCUUCCAAUUCUCUCCCCCACCCCACUGGGGGUGAGAUGAACAGCUGUGUGGUGCUUAGUUGCUGGCUGGAGUUAAACCACAACACCUGCUCUGGUUCCUUAUACACCUUAGAGAGGAUAAAAUUCCAGUCUGAAGUUGCUUCUGCAGACAUUUGGACAGGUCCUUUAUAUCACUUCCAUAGCAAAUGCAUAUUCUUGAUUUCUUCUAUCUCCCUAACAACUUUAUUAAAUGUGCUGCAAAUAACAGAGAAAGAGAGAUAAUGAUCUGAAAAAAACCCCUUAGUGUGAAGGAUCAUCUCUUUCCCUUAGAAGUCAACCACUGAACUGCAGACCAUGAAUUCUGUCCAAAUGCUGUUGCUUCAUAUUCUUGCUUGUUCCCCAUAUCUACAGGAAAAUUCUCAUUUCACCUGACUUUAUAUUUAGUCAUGUAGCAGUUGCUAUGCCCUACUGCUAUUCAUUUCUGCUCCUCCAAAGGUGCAGAAAAAUGGGAGCUAUCUAAUACUGACUUCAAAAUGAUGCCGUAAAAACUGUGGUAAAGUAAGAUAUCAUUCCCUCAUACUGUCAGAGAGGAAAUUCUGUGAGCUAUCCUAAGUACCUUACUUAAUACUUAAUAUAUGUACGGGAAUAUGUGAAGUCCCUGCAGAUAGAAAACAGAUAAUUUAUUACAAUUGAUUAGCAUGAUACUUUAGUUUACCUGCCAAAAUGCUGUUCUUAAUCAAAUUCUUUAUGUUCACCUACCUUUUCAUAAAUUCCAUCUCUAUGGAGAUUAACAUCAGGAUAUCAGUCUUCAUGGGAUUCAGUACAAGUCACAAUCCCAAGGGGGGAAAAAGAUCUAGAAUAAAACUGCAACUGGCUAUUCCUUCUACAAGAAAGGAAUUGGUACUCAAUUUGUCAUUUAGGCCAAAUUAGUACAUCUCUGGACAGCUAACCAGGCUGCUGUAAUUCCCGAGACAAAUCAGAACGCUUUGGAGCACCCCAUUCCCUUACUUUAGCAUUGCAGAGAAAUCCCUUGCUCCUUGCUUUGCAAUUCCUUUUGCUAGACGCUAAGUGAAGGAACAGUUAGCCUUAUGACACCAGAGCACUUACUUGGAUUUUUUGAAAACCAACCUAAUGGCGUAAGUAACGCACAGUUAUGUGAUGUGACUCACAUACACUGCCUUGGGCAGUAAGAACUAGGAGGGAGGGAAAGAAGCAGAAACCACAUUACAAUCUGUCUUGUGAAGUGUCUGAGACUGUCAUAAGCAGAUGGUGAGGGAGGCCAACAUAGCUGGGAUAUGGGCUGACAUGGAAACAACGACCAACCUGCAACCAUGGCAGCUUUCUUGGGGACACCUAUGAGAAUCCAAGUGUGACCAGUGAUUGACUUUUAAUACCUUUGAAUGCGAGUAGGUCACUUAAAUGGGGAUUUUGGAUUGUAUUUCAAUUUCAAAGGCAUAUCUUUGGAGUACAAAAAAGAAUCAAGAGUAUUAACAAGUCAUUCCUGGGACAGAACUGGUCUUGAUGCGAAGCAAAAUACAUACAUUCUUUUCAGUUUAGAUCUUUAAAACCCCAUAUUCUUUCAAAAAAAGAGAAGAAUAUAGGGACAAUGCACACCCAGGAUAAAUAGCACGUAUACUAUUAUUAAAACAAGUGCAUAGGGAGGGCAAGUUAACUUGUAUUGAUAUUCACUUCGUCAUCCAUACUCCAGGCUUUUUUUGUCCAUUUCCUUAAUAUCCAUAAAUCUCAUUCUCCACCCAGGCUGAUUCCUUGCUCCUCCCCACAUGAUCUCCACACAGCUCAUAGAUAUCAUUGGUCACAAAGCCACUUUCAGUAUUGGCCAAUGUCACAAAGCCACUUGUUGAUGUAUUCAUUGCCACAUCAUCAUAAUCCCUGGAGAAGCUGUCAAGCACCUUAUCUUCCUGCGUACGGAAGGAAGAAUUCUUAGUGUCAGGCCUGGUUCCAGCCAGAUCUGCUUCUGAUUGCUUCUUGAUUACUUUGUAAAUAUCCAGGUUUGGACUGUUCCUCCUGGGGUUAGACAGCCAUGCAUCUUCCUCCUUCGGGCUUACAUCUGUUGGCUCCCGUCUCCUUAGGGAUGGAGGAAAGAGGACAAGUCAUAGUAUGUUUUUUUUACAGAGGCAUAUAUAAAACAAUACCACACCUCUCAAAGUAAUUUAAUGAUGACCCUUGAGGAAAGCUAAUACUCAGGGACUGGACUCAGGAUGACAUUUGUUACUACUUGCCAUUCUGGUUGUGUGGCAGCAGGCUGCACACCUGGCGUAGUCCCACAGCAAGACCUGCUGAGGUACCCCUUGCACUCUGCUGCCAGCUGAGAUGCUGAGGCAGCAAAACUCGACACUGACACUCCCAAAAUCACAGCCAGCAUCCCCACCAGAGGUAUGGUACACAAAGGAAAAGCAAGGUGACUAAAUUGGUAAAUGUUAUUUCCUCCAAACAUGUAUCCCUUUAUUUCUAUUACUAUGGUUUUCACUGUUGAAGAGGAUCUUCUGGUAAUUCAGAUCUUUAUUAAGAAAACCUAAGUGUUAACACUUCAAAAUCAUCAUCUUGUUUUGCACUGCUCCCUAACUACUAUACGUCUGUGAACGUAAUAAAAUGGCACACUGUAAUUCACUCAACAUUUUACUUCCUAAGUAACUCAGCCUGGAGCACCCAUGCCACUUUUUAAACAUUUAUUUGGCUCAAAACAGUCCUCUGCAGAGCAUCUUACAGGAUCCUGAAGCGCACUCCAAAAUGAUUGCCAGGACAAGAUAUCACAGGUUCACUUAUUACACAAAAAUGUCACUUACCUCUUUGCACAAAGCCAAAGCCAGAAGAUGGCUGUAAUGACCACCAGGAGAAGCAGCACAGGAACACUGGGAAUAAGGAUGUAGGCAAGACUCUGAACAGGUUCUAGGGGUAAAAAUGAGAUUCCGGCUUUUAUUCACUUCCAGUUGCAUUUGACAUGCACAGAACUUGAUAGAAAAACUGACAGCUGCAAAAGGCAGCACCAUCACACCUCAAUGGGCUUCUAGUCUUGUUCAUAAUCUAGCAUUAUCUACCACUUCUCAAAGGCAGCAAGUCUAACAGAGACUGAUCAUCAGGUUAAAGUAAAAUAAACUGGAAUCUUCACAAUGAGGAACCAACAAGCCUGUCUCACUGUAAGAGGGCAAUGAUAGUGCAAGUUAAUGAGAUACGCUAUCUUAAAAUCUUGGGAAGCCCCGGCCAAAAGAUUUUAGAGAGCAAAACGUCUUUUAUGGUCUGUGAAUUCAUAGGGACAAAGUCAGUGCAGUAAGAAGAAAUUGAAAGUUUUUCAUAGUUAAUAGACUUAAACAAAACAUUAACAAUUUAGACACUCAAAAGUGAUUCAACAAAUUUCAGACCCAAAAUACUUUUCAUAGCUUUAGAUUUAGAAUAUUUUGGUAGCCAAAGCAAUCAGUGUAGGUUUGUAUAGGAAAAGAUUUGAAGGAGGGUUUUUUAAAGAUAGAUGCAGUUGCCUAAAUUCAGUCUUCUACAUUUAGGGUCAAACACUUCAAACUGAAAUGACUGUUGGCAGCCACAGGUGAGAGAUGCGGGCCUGCAGUUAGAGAGAGAACAGGACAGCUGUUGUAUGCACAACAUACCUUUGGCUUCUACAACUGUUACAUUAGCAUCUUUCUUAUGGUGUUUUACUGGGAAUACUGGGUUGAAGGGCUCUGUUGCAACAUCUGGAAAGAAACAGCUUAAUAUUGCAGAUGUUAUUUGAAAGAGUUUAAGAAUCAUAAAAAGUGAGGGUGAGAGGAUAUGGAAGAGACUGCCAGCUGCAAACAUACGUAAGAUGUACUGGCACUCUCUUGCUUAGAUUUCUGCAGCAUGACUAGCAGUCCCAAAUACUGCAUCAACAACAGCAAGACUGUGUUCCUGCAGACUGGAUUAUAGAAUAGCACAAUGAAAGCACAAACAGCAGGGAAGCUUCUUGCUCAGUACGUUUUCAGUCUGUGAGCAUCCUUGACAAUGAAUGGAACAGAGUACUACUUCUUAAUUUCUACUUAUCUAAAGUUAACAUAUAAUUAAAGAAAGCACCAAACGAAUAUCUGUAACUUACCUUUUUGAGAAUUCUCUAUUGGAGCAUUUGUUGGCUUCUCUAAAAGAAAAAAAGAUACGCAUAAUUUCCUCAUAAGCUUGAGUAGGGAGACCAAGUAUACUGAAUAUAGUCUAAUAACACGAGCACCCUUCUUUAGUGUUCUCUCUCAGAUCCUAUUUGAGAUCUCAAAUACUUUAUAAAAAUCCUCUGAAAAUUCAUAAGUCACAAGGCAAGUAGCUACAGUUAUUCAAUACUGAGAUUGUUUUCCCUAGAACUUGCAUAAAUUUAAGUUAUCUGCCUCCUGCCAGAUCUUUCCAGUGAAGCUAAGAAAGGGUUUUCCUGUCUGUAACAGCAAUCUCUUCAUACAUCCUCUCGGGGACUGGGAGCAAGUUGGUUUUUAAAGCUAUAGAAUGACUCAUUACCAAGAGAAUAUUUGCAAAUGAAGUUAUUUUUCAUGUUGCAUCUGUCAUCGUUCCAUUGAAACAUGUAAGGACCUCCAACUCCUGGUGGGGCAGAUGGCUGGUGGUACAUCACAACACAGAUUUCACUCCCACAGGAUGGCUCAUCUACAUACCAGUUCCUAAGAAAAUACAACAAACAUGUCAAUAAUAAACUUCACCACUGGAAAACUGUGUAGGCCUUUCCAAGUACUGCACAGGAAUGAGGCUUCACUACUUAGCACUCUGCAAUAUAAUUGUUACUGAAGAGGAAUUUUAUGCAUCUCAGAGAAACACUUCUAAGACUGUGUCGCGAUUUUCAAAAAUGUUCAAUACCCACUAAUUUUGGUGCGACCAACGUUCUGCAUGCCAAGCACUUUAUGAAAGCUGAUCCAUACAAUAAAAAUAAUUCCAGAUAUAUCAAGGUAUUCAACAUGGGAAAAAACCCCACACAUUAAAGCAGUAUUUUUUCAACCA
Non-coding RNA from Phalacrocorax carbo (great cormorant), 9543 nucleotides. Lineage: Eukaryota; Metazoa; Chordata; Aves; Suliformes; Phalacrocoracidae. The record is from RefSeq and is a predicted model, not a curated record.